UACGAGGGGUGCAAGCGUUGCUCGGAAUUAUUGGGCGUAAAGGGUAGGUAGGUGGUCUCAUUUGUCAGGGGUGAAAGCCUUGGGCUUAACCCAAGAAGUGCCCCUGAAACGGUGAGACUGGAGUCCUGGAGAGGGUCGUGGAAUUCCCGGUGUAGCGGUGAAAUGCGUAGAGAUCGGGAGGAACACCAGAGGCGAAGGCGGCGACCUGGACAGGUACUGACACUCAACUACGAAAGCGUGGGGAGCAAACAGG
This 253-nucleotide ribosomal RNA is filed under the name uncultured bacterium. Its description in RNAcentral is "partial 16S ribosomal RNA". It matches the Rfam family "Bacterial small subunit ribosomal RNA", at positions 524 to 776 of the family's 1533-position model. The record is from RNAcentral.